AAGUUUGUUUUGUAAUAAACCACUUCUAUACAGUAUUAGUCAAUGCGCGCUUGAGUUUCAAAACCCUCAAUCAUUGACACUAUUAAUCAACUGUUAAUCUGCGUUUUGUCUGAUCUCUUUUGCUUGUCCGCUCUGUAAUCAGAGUUCUCAACCUAAUUGAUCCCAGCACAUUUCUAGUUCUCUUCUUUUCUCUGGUAUCCUAUUAUUUACAGCUCUGUAAAAGCUAACUGUGAUUGGAAAUUGAAGCAACAGAGAACGGUUUUACCUUUAUAUCUAUUUGUAACUUUGUAAGGAUAGCCAUCUAGUACGGAGUAAGUAAAUUUCCAGAUAAAAUAAAGGAUAGAUUUAGAUUUAGGCAUCUGAGAAUAAAUGUGUAAAAAUUUUCUGAAUUUGAGAGGUAUUUCAUCUGUCUUUCCUUAGGGCUGAUAUAGAAUGCACAGAGGAGGUUACUAAUAUGACAGAUUAAGGGGAAAAAAGAAGGGUUACUAAUCUGAAGUUCCCUUUUACGCAUACUAAGUUGGUAAUCAGACUGGACACAGCAGGCUUAGCAGCAAAUCAAGGUAAUAGCAAUGAUAGGAAAUGAUACCUGGUCAGGCACCCAUAGAACUCUUUUUUCUAAAAUCUCGAUCAUAUAACGGCACACAUAGUAUCCGGAGUCAUUGCUGUUUUGAGGUUGACGAGGACACUACAAUAUAAGGAAUAAAAGAAAUACAGUAAUACAUCAGGUAAGUUAAGUUAUUGUAUUAAUGUACUACAUCAUAGUAUUAUAGAGAACACAGAUGAAAUACCUCUGGUUGCAUCCACCCAAUUUUCGGAUUCCUUUUUACUUUCUUAAUAUCCUUUCGAUAGAGAAUGCUAAAUCUUCUAAUUCCCCUGCGUAAAAAAAAUGAUAGCUCAAUGAGCUUCUUUUUCGAUAUUAAUGGAUAUCCAUUAUGAAGAAACAGGAGGCUAAGGAAA
Spinacia oleracea (spinach) is the source of this 957-nucleotide long non-coding RNA. RefSeq lists it as uncharacterized. Lineage: Eukaryota; Viridiplantae; Streptophyta; Magnoliopsida; Caryophyllales; Amaranthaceae. The record is from RefSeq and is a predicted model, not a curated record. The transcript is spliced from 3 exons.